RNAcentral lists this long non-coding RNA (1485 nucleotides) under Bemisia tabaci. RNAcentral describes it as "lncRNA ENSSSA1UGG008193". The record is from RNAcentral. Lineage: Eukaryota; Metazoa; Arthropoda; Insecta; Hemiptera; Aleyrodidae.
GGAGAAAAUAAUGGCGGCAAUAAUAUUCAAUUUGAAACGUGCCCUAGUGACGUCAUCGACGCUGCCAGGCUUCAAAUUUUGCACCUCGAACUUAAGUCAUGUGGCGUGCAAAAAUUUGUAUGCCCGAAGAAGAUUUCUGCGAAAAUACUUCUGCGAUUAUUUCACUGUGUUGCGAGCGAAAAAUGUUCGAACAAAUCGAACAUUCCAUGUAUUUUCACAAAUAAGAAAAUCGGGCAACAGUGCUACACGGUCAUACCUUUCCGCAUCGUAUGACGUACUCUGAUGCACAAAUGGCCGCCACACUAAAUUGUCCUCUAUGCUGUCCUCUACCUCUCGCCUCUCCUUUACGCGCCUACAGUCUACUUCGCUUCUUAUUUUCGAGACGCCACAGACGAAAAUUUGGUUUGCAAUUUUGCAAAUACCAAUCCCAAGUUUAUGUAAAUAACUCUUUAAUGUGUAAAUUAUUUAGCGUGCUAAUUGUUUUCAAUGGAAUUUUGACCUACAUAUCUGUAGAAGAUGAGUAUUUUGCUACCAUGCAAGGAUCCAUCUUGUCUCGUCUUAAAUAUCCCAGAACUGAUCACUGACUCAUUUCUCCAGAACAUCCACAAGGCGAACGUUGUCUACACGAGCCGCUUCAACAAGUGGUAUCUCAGGACCCACUUGAAGAUUGAUGACUCAAAAUAUUUACAUGCAGUUUUACUCAAACCUAUUUAAUACAAAAUAAAGGUUGCACCUCUGAGUAUUUUCUGUCUGCUGUCCCAUCAAAUUUUUCAAUCGGCUCUGCAGUUUUUGUUUUGAAAGGUGACUCGGGGUACACUAUCUAUCUAGGCAAAUUUCGGGAUCCCCAAAAGAUCCUGCUGAAUCCCUUGAUUCAGAGAAUUUCCCAAGGAGAGGAACCUGUGGUUGUACAGGUAGUAGACCCUGCCGAUGUGUUUGGAAAUGUUAACAGCUCUAAUCCUCCGAAGGAUGAAGUCACUCCAGAGUUCCUCUCUUCAUUAAUAAGGCGAGAGCUGAAGAGGGAACCUGAACGAAUCAUCAUUGGAGCCCCAAUUUUCGGAACGCAAAAAUUACUCCUACAAUUAGCCCAAGAACUACAAAUAACUCUAAAAGUGGACAGAGUGAGGGAGACAAUUUUCUCUUUUCUGCAAUUGAAUGAGGAUUUUUACAGUGCUAAGAAAAACCCAGAUCAUAUAGAAGUAAAGGACUUGAGUAGUUUUUCAUACAACUCUCAGCAGAAGAAAGUCAUCUUCAGUCCAGGCUCCAGGUUUGAAAAUGCAGUGUACGUCAAAAUCGGAUCACUACCUUGUGAUGAAUUGACUGAAGAGAAGUUGUCACAUGGAAGUAAUAUAUUUUAUUUCCUACCAAAUGUUCACACCGUGACUCAAGAUGACUUGGGUAUAUUUCUUGAUAAGCUCAAGCCAAGAAAAAUUCUGGAUCUCCCACCAUUGUUAAUUGAAGCGUGGAAGAUUUGCAACUACAACAGAG